ACGAGACAGGGGCUUCGGUUCCAGGGGCCCAUGCCCCGCGCUCUUCACCCUAUGUGUAUCGACCGCUGUUGCUUUGGCGGGCUCCGGGCUUCGUCUCGGCUCCGGUUCCAGGCUGCCUUGAACUGGUGUCCGCCCGCCAGAGACCCUCUGAACCCUUUUGUAUCAAGUAGUCUGAGUUAUGAAGCAAAUCAAUCAAAACUUUCAACAACGGAUCUCUUGGUUCUGGCAUCGAUGAAGAACGCAGCAAAAUGCGAUAAGUAAUGUGAAUUGCAGAAUUCAGUGAAUCAUCGAAUCUUUGAACGCACAUUGCGCCCCUUGGUAUUCCGAGGGGCAUGCCUGUUCGAGCGUCAUUGCACCUCUCAAGCAUUGCUUGGUAUUGAACGCUCGCCGCCCUUUCGCUGGGCGGCGCGCUCGAAAAUUAGUGGCGGUCCCCGGAGACUUCAAGCGCAGUAACAGCGCCGCUUUGGAAGCUUUCUCCCGGAGGGCCCGGCCAGCGACCCCCCAUUUUUCAAUGAUUGACCUCGGAUCAGGUAGGGAUACCCGCUGAACUUAAGCAUAUCAAU
The sequence is a ribosomal RNA, 563 nucleotides long. The stretch from base 197 to 350 matches the Rfam family "5.8S ribosomal RNA".